This 541-nucleotide ribosomal RNA is filed under the name Clostridioides difficile. RNAcentral's name for it is "bacterial LSU rRNA". It matches the Rfam family "Bacterial large subunit ribosomal RNA", at positions 1118 to 1665 of the family's 2925-position model. The record is from RNAcentral. Lineage: Bacteria; Bacillati; Bacillota; Clostridia; Peptostreptococcales; Peptostreptococcaceae.
ACAGUUCAAAGAGUGCGUAAUAGCUAACUGGUCGAGUGUUGCGGCGCCGAAGAUUUCAGGGGCUAAACCGUGCUACCGAAGCUACGGCAUCAGUAAUGAUGGGUAGGGGAGCUUCCCAUACGGGUUGAAGCAUGACCGUAAGGACAUGUGGACAGUAUGGGAGUGAGAAUGUUGGCAUGAGUAGCGAGAUGUGGGUGGGAAUCCCACAGGCCGUAAACCCAAGGUUUCCAGGGGAAGGUUCGUCCGCCCUGGGUUAGUCGGGACCUAAGCUGAGGCCGAAAGGCGUAGGUGAUGGACAACAGGUUGAUAUUCCUGUACUACCGAUAACCGUUUGAGAGAAGGGAUGACACAGUAGGAUAAGCUAAGCACACUGUUGGUUAUGUGUGCCCAAGCAUUGAGGCAGUCAAAGUAGGCAAAUCCGCUUUGAUAAUGCUGGGAUGUGAUGGGGAGCGAAAUUUAGUAGCGAAGUAGCUGAUUUCACACUGUCAAGAAAAGUCUCUAUCGAGGUUAAAGGUACCCGUACCGCAAACCGACACAGGUG